UGCGCUCGUCGCCGUUUGCCGACCCGCAGUAGUAGGGCCAUUUGGCCCCCAAGGGCACGUGUCGUUGGCUAAGCCGUCGUGGCGGAAGGGUCACGGUGGCCGCCUUGAAUUACAAUUCCGAUCGAGCGGCGAGCUGAAUCCUUUGCAGACGACUUAAAUACGCGACGGGGUAUUGUAAGGGGUAGAGUGGCCUUGCUGCCACGAUCCUCUGAGAUUCAGCCUUUGUCGCUCCGAUUCGU
Molecule: non-coding RNA, 239 nt
Filed under: Ipomoea nil (Japanese morning glory)
Lineage: Eukaryota; Viridiplantae; Streptophyta; Magnoliopsida; Solanales; Convolvulaceae
Description: Eukaryotic large subunit ribosomal RNA
Rfam family: Eukaryotic large subunit ribosomal RNA
Source: Rfam by way of RNAcentral